CCCUUAGAUGUUCUGGGCCGCACGCGCGCUACACUGACGGAGCCAACGAGUACUUUCCUUGUCCGGAAGGACUGGGUAAUCUUGUGAAACUUCGUCGUGCUGGGGAUAGAGCAUUGCAAUUAUUGCUCUUCAACGAGGAAUUCCUAGUAAGCGUGAGUCAUCAGCUCGCGUUGAUUACGUCCCUGCCCUUUGUACACACCGCCCGUCGCUACUACCGAUUGAAUGGUUUAGUGAGAUCUUCGGAUUGGCGCCACUGCGGCUCAGCAAUGGGCUCGGUGGAUGCCGAAAAGUUGAUCAAACUUGAUCAUUUAGAGGAAGUAAAAGUCGUAACA
RNAcentral lists this ribosomal RNA (332 nucleotides) under uncultured eukaryote. RNAcentral's name for it is "partial 18S ribosomal RNA". It matches the Rfam family "Eukaryotic small subunit ribosomal RNA", at positions 1470 to 1796 of the family's 1831-position model. The record is from RNAcentral.